UGCUGAGUUAAACUUACGUGCCACCUUCUU
This 30-nucleotide non-coding RNA is filed under the name Mus musculus (house mouse). Lineage: Eukaryota; Metazoa; Chordata; Mammalia; Rodentia; Muridae. The record is from RNAcentral.